RNAcentral lists this ribosomal RNA (302 nucleotides) under uncultured bacterium. Its description in RNAcentral is "partial 16S ribosomal RNA". It matches the Rfam family "Bacterial small subunit ribosomal RNA", at positions 508 to 809 of the family's 1533-position model. The record is from RNAcentral.
GCAGCCGCCGCGGUAAUACGUAGGGUGCGAGCGUUAAUCGGAAUUACUGGGCGUAAAGCGUGCGCAGGCGGUUAUAUAAGACAGAUGUGAAAUCCCCGGGCUCAACCUGGGACCUGCAUUUGUGACUGUAUAGCUAGAGUACGGUAGAGGGGGAUGGAAUUCCGCGUGUAGCAGUGAAAUGCGUAGAUAUGCGGAGGAACACCGAUGGCGAAGGCAAUCCCCUGGACCUGUACUGACGCUCAUGCACGAAAGCGUGGGGAGCAAACAGGAUUAGAUACCCGCGUAGUCCCUGUCUCUUAUAA